CUCUCCCUAGCUUAUCCAGUUAAUUCUUAUAGUUAUAGUUGUAUGUUCUUUAGAUUAGUUAUUCCUGUUCAUAGUUCAUUGUUAAAUACUUGUAAAUAGUUAGUGGGGGAUAAGGGGGUUGCUUCUCCCCCCUUUUCCCCCGGCGCAUAGCCGGGCUCAUGCCCAAGGCUCCUGGCUUUAAGCCGUGCGCGUCCUGUGCUAAGCCUAUGCCAACAGGAGAUCCGCACAACUCGUGUCUGAAGUGUUUAGGAGAGUCCCACCAAACAGAUAAGUGCAAAAUCUGUAAGGCUUUCAGACCCAGGACCAAAAAGGAGCGGGACUUUCGACUCAAGCAGCUCCUCAUGGAGGCGGCACUUAGCCCAGAUCCUCCCUCGGCCCGCCAAGUUCCAGCACCGAGCGCUUCGGUGCGCAGCGCCCCUGCGGCACCUACCGGUACUACACCACGAGCACACGUGGUUAAGGCCUCGCGGCACCGUCCUCCUUCGGCACCGCGUGCGCCUUGGCGCCAGUCCCUGUCUCCGGGACAUAAGAGACCCUGCAAGACACAGGAGGCCGCUGUCCUACAGGCACUGGCUCCACCGGUACCGGUGGUAGAGCCACGUCCGCCUCUAGAGCGCCAGAAGUCGCAGAUAUCAGGUACACCGUUGACUCUGGCACCGGGGCCGUUGAGUCCGGUGCGGACUGGCUCACCACCACAUUCCGUGGUGGAGCCCUGUCUCCCGUCUACCCCGGAGACGUUUGCGACAGCGAAGGACCUCAUCGCUCUCACGGAGCCGGCGCCAUCUCAACCUGCGGCACCGCCCACCCUUCAGUCAGUGCAAUCCAGGGGCAAGCCUGCCCUGGUACGCCCGCCAUCUCCGAGCGUGGACUCGCGGCACCUCUCCAGGUCUCGGAGCAGGUCCCGAUGCCGCUCGCAGUCCCGGCGCCAAUUUUCACCCCGGCACCGGUCGUACUCGCGGCCUAGGUCCUCUUCACGGCACCGAUCUACGUCUCGGCACCGUCGGGAUCAUCGGUACCAAUCA
This 1022-nucleotide long non-coding RNA is filed under the name Chrysemys picta bellii (western painted turtle). RNAcentral describes it as "lncRNA (ENSCPBG00000025762.1)". Lineage: Eukaryota; Metazoa; Chordata; Testudines; Emydidae. The record is from RNAcentral.